GUUUAAAUCUUUAAUUUUCUUAUGUGGGAGACAGACAUUAACUAAUACCAACCAAACCGUCAUUGACAAAAUCCAACGAUGCUAAAAUUAAUGAAUUUGUCUUCAUUCCCAAAUCCCAAGCUGUUUAAUUGAUUGAUUCGUCGAGUGCUGAAGGAUGACCGUCGGCCUUUAAGAGGAGUGAUUAUCGCCUUGUUUACUCCUUAUCAAAGUCGCAUUUGGGGGUCCCCCCAAGUAAAUCGCAUGGUUGAUGCUUAAUCUGAACUCAGAUCUCACCCCUAGUCCUAUGGUUGCUGACCUUCAAAAAAAAAAAAAAAAA
This 316-nucleotide unclassified non-coding RNA is filed under the name Hevea brasiliensis (rubber tree). The record is from RNAcentral. Lineage: Eukaryota; Viridiplantae; Streptophyta; Magnoliopsida; Malpighiales; Euphorbiaceae.